UACGUAGGGUGCAAGCGUUAAUCGGAAUACUGGGCGUAAAGCGUGCGCAGGCGGUGAUGUAAGACAGUUGUGAAAUCCCCCGGGCUCAACCCUGGGAACUGCAUCUGUGACUGCAUUGCUGGAGUGCGGCAGAGGGGGAUGGAAUUCCGCGUGUAGCAGUGAAAUGCGUAGAUAUGCGGGAGGAACACCGAUGGCGAAGGCAGCCCCCCUGGGUCAAGAUUGACGCUCAUGCACGAAAGCGUGGGGAGCAAACAGG
This 256-nucleotide ribosomal RNA is filed under the name uncultured bacterium. RNAcentral describes it as "partial 16S ribosomal RNA". It matches the Rfam family "Bacterial small subunit ribosomal RNA", at positions 524 to 776 of the family's 1533-position model. The record is from RNAcentral.